Molecule: ribosomal RNA, 497 nt
Filed under: uncultured bacterium
Lineage: Bacteria
Description: partial 16S ribosomal RNA
Rfam family: Bacterial small subunit ribosomal RNA
Source: RNAcentral
GAUGAACGCUGGCGGCGUGCCUAAUACAUGCAAGUCGAGCGAACAGACGAGGAUCUUGCUCCUCUGACGUUAGCGGCGGACGGGUGAGUAACACGUGGAUAACCUACCUAUAAGACUGGGAUAACUUCGGGAAACCGGAGCUAAUACCGGAUAAUAUAUUGAACCGCAUGGUUCAAUAGUGAAAGACGGUUUUGCUGUCACUUAUAGAUGGAUCCGCGCCGCAUUAGCUAGUUGGUAAGGUAACGGCUUACCAAGGCAACGAUGCGUAGCCGACCUGAGAGGGUGAUCGGCCACACUGGAACUGAGACACGGUCCAGACUCCUACGGGAGGCAGCAGUAGGGAAUCUUCCGCAAUGGGCGAAAGCCUGACGGAGCAACGCCGCGUGAAUGAUGAAGGUCUUCGGAUCGUAAAACUCUUUUAUUAGGGAAGAACAAAUGUGUAAGUAACUAUGCACGUCUUGACGGUACCUAAUCAGAAAGCCACGGCUAACUACGUG